CCCCAGACUCCUACGGGAGGCAGCAGUGGGGAAUAUUGGGCAAUGGGCGCAAGCCUGACCCAGCAACGCCGCGUGAAGGAAGAAGGCCUUCGGGUUGUAAACUUCUUUUAAGGGGGAAGAGCAGAAGACGGUACCCCUUGAAUAAGCCACGGCUAACUACGUGCCAGCAGCCGCGGUAAUACGUAGGUGGCAAGCGUUGUCCGGAUUUACUGGGUGUAAAGGGCGUGCAGCCGGAGAGACAAGUCAGAUGUGAAAUCCACGGGCUCAACCCGUGAACUGCAUUUGAAACUGUUUCCCUUGAGUGUCGGAGAGGUAAUCGGAAUUCCUUGUGUAGCGGUGAAAUGCGUAGAUAUAAGGAAGAACACCAGUGGCGAAGGCGGAUUACUGGACGAUAACUGACAGUGAGGCGCGAAAGCGUGGGGAGCAAACAGGAUUAGAUACCCCAGUA
RNAcentral lists this ribosomal RNA (448 nucleotides) under uncultured bacterium. RNAcentral describes it as "bacterial SSU rRNA". It matches the Rfam family "Bacterial small subunit ribosomal RNA", at positions 329 to 792 of the family's 1533-position model. The record is from RNAcentral.